UCAGGCCUAACACAUGCAAGUCGAGCGGAAACGAGCUAUCUGAACCUUCGGGGAACGAUAAUGGCGUCGAGCGGCGGACGGGUGAGUGAUGCCUAGGAAAUUGCCCUGAUGUGGGGGAUAACCAUUGGAAACGAUGGCUAAUACCGCAUGAUACCUACGGGCCAAAGAGGGGGACCUUCGGGCCUCUCGCGUCAGGAUAUGCCUAGGUGGGAUUAGCUAGUUGGUGAGGUAAGGGCUCACCAAGGCGACGAUCCCUAGCUGGUCUGAGAGGAUGAUCAGCCACACUGGAACUGAGACACGGUCCAGACUCCUACGGGAGGCAGCAGUGGGGAAUAUUGCACAAUGGGCGCAAGCCUGAUGCAGCCAUGCCGCGUGUGUGAAGAAGGCCUUCGGGUUGUAAAGCACUUUCAGUCGUGAGGAAGGUAGUGUAGUUAAUAGCUGCAUUAUUUGACGUUAGCGACAGAAGAAGCACCGGCUAACUCCGUGCCAGCAGCCGCGGUAAUACGGAGGGUGCGAGCGUUAAUCGGAAUUACUGGGCGUAAAGCGCAUGCAGGUGGUUUGUUAAGUCAGAUGUGAAAGCCCGGGGCUCAACCUCGGAAUAGCAUUCGAAACUGGCAGACUAGAGUACUGUAGAGGGGGGUAGAAUUUCA
RNAcentral lists this ribosomal RNA (650 nucleotides) under uncultured bacterium. RNAcentral describes it as "bacterial SSU rRNA". It matches the Rfam family "Bacterial small subunit ribosomal RNA", at positions 42 to 671 of the family's 1533-position model. The record is from RNAcentral.